AGGGAAAGAAAAAUCUAGAAGUUGCGUGCGACCUCUAUACCUUCUGCCGUUCUCGACCUCUGAUCCUUCUUCUUCGUUCCUUGCCGUCGCCGACGAGGCAGACGAGUUGCCGUGAGGUCGCUGUCACUGUGCGAUGCCCAGAAGCUUCGAACGCUUUCCUCGUCUUCUCUUCGACAAUUUUCAUUCCUCCAUAGUUCAGAUCGGCGUCGGUGAGAAUCUGGUGCUGUUUCACUGUUGCUCUCUCGUUUAUUUUCUGAUAUGAGAUUCAUUCGGCCUCCCCUGCCUCUCCUCUGUUGGUGUGCUGCUGUAGGGGUCACGGUUAUCAUUGUUCUUCUCCGUCUUCUCUGCUUCGCAUGUAUCCAGUAACGUCAAUCUCUAUAUACCUGAUUCGAACAGCAAUAGCCCCUUCUCUAGCUUCCGUCAUUAUUAGUCUGAGCCCCAACCCUUUUCUUGUUCUUCUCUGCUUGAGUCGUGGCUACUUCAGAUAGUGUAGCUGACACUGAAUCACCCACUGAACAUUUGGGAGUUUGUGAUUGAUUAAAAGCGGAGGAGCUAAGGGUUAAACUUUCUCUUGACGUAAAAUUUUAAUUAUGAAAUUUUAUUUUGUAAACUUAUUUUUAGGUGCUCCACAUAAUCUGUAGUCAGGUUAUUUAUGUGGUUAUAUAUUUUGUCUAUCGGUUGGAAGGAGCUUUACUCCUGAUUGGCUUGAUACUUUCGGUUGAAAUAUUGUCUUGUAGAAUUUUCGAGAGAUCUUAUUUACAGAGGAGAUUCUAUCAAAAUUUUUAUAA
Molecule: RNA transcript, 788 nt
Organism: Prosopis cineraria
Lineage: Eukaryota; Viridiplantae; Streptophyta; Magnoliopsida; Fabales; Fabaceae
Exons: 3
Source: RefSeq, a predicted model, not a curated record